Parasteatoda tepidariorum (common house spider) is the source of this 299-nucleotide long non-coding RNA. RefSeq lists it as uncharacterized. The record is from RefSeq and is a predicted model, not a curated record. NCBI's taxonomy places the organism in Eukaryota, Metazoa, Arthropoda, Arachnida, Araneae, Theridiidae.
UUCAAGAAAAAAUCAUGCACAAGAUUUUAGCUAUUCUGUUACUUUUUGCGAUUAUUGGUACUGCUUAUACGCAAUGCACAACUGACUGCAUUUGUUGAUUGUAUACAAGGAUGCGGUGUAAAUGAAGUAGAUAUAAGAGAAGAAUGUUCUUGCUGUGCACUAUGUGUACCUUUGAAUGAAAACUGAUGCAAGUAAAAUUUUAUAAAAAUAAUGCUUACAUCGAUUGCAAUGUUAUCAAGAAGCAGAAGAAUGAAAGAUAAUGUCUUCCAAAUAAAUAAAAUUAUUUGAUUUUAAGCUGA